RNAcentral lists this ribosomal RNA (322 nucleotides) under uncultured bacterium. RNAcentral's name for it is "bacterial SSU rRNA". It matches the Rfam family "Bacterial small subunit ribosomal RNA", at positions 83 to 422 of the family's 1533-position model. The record is from RNAcentral.
AGCAAUACGUCAGCGGCAGACGGGUGAGUAACGCGUGGGAACAUACCUCUUGGUUCGGAACAACACAGGGAAACUUGUGCUAAUACCGGAUAAGCCCUUACGGGGAAAGAUUUAUCGCCGAGAGAUUGGCCCGCGUCUGAUUAGCUAGUUGGUAGGGUAAUGGCCUACCAAGGCGACGAUCAGUAGCUGGUCUGAGAGGAUGAUCAGCCGCAUUGGGACUGAGACACGGCCCAAACUCCUACGGGAGGCAGCAGUGGGGAAUAUUGGACAAUGGGGGCAACCCUGAUCCAGCCAUGCCGCGUGAGUGAUGAAGGCCCUAGGG